This 18420-nucleotide long non-coding RNA is filed under the name Volvox carteri. RNAcentral describes it as "long non-coding RNA (VCAR_LNC002954)". The record is from RNAcentral. Lineage: Eukaryota; Viridiplantae; Chlorophyta; Chlorophyceae; Chlamydomonadales; Volvocaceae.
GAGGAACGUCCGUCAUACAUCGCUACAAGGUGUGUAUGGAUAGGGAGGGUCGGGGAAUUGGGGCUGGAAGGGUUGGGAGGGUCGUGGCACGGGAGUUGGCGGGGUAUGGGGGUUAGGGAGGGUCGGGGAAUAGGGGUUGGGAGGGUUGGGAGGGUCGGGGCACUGGGGUUGGCGGGGUAUGGGGGAUAGGGAGGGUCGGGGAAUCGGGGCUGGGAGGGUUGGGAGGGUCGUGGCACGGGGGUUGGCGGGGUAUGGGGGUUAGGGAGGGUCGGGGAAUCACAUUUCACAACUCACUUUUCAUGUCCCCCCCUCCCUUUGCCCCCUAAGGCCUGCCACACCAGGGAGGACGUGGAGUGCUGGCACUUCUCCUCAAAGUUACCAAACAGCAUAUAAAGGGCUGCGGGUUCUCUGUCUAGAUCUUUUGCAUGGGGGAUCUUGGAAAACCAGCAAACCUACAUGGCUGGCGUAGCUACACAAACAAAAGCCUUUUUAUCCCCCGGUUUCCGAGCUUAAGUUUUCCCAAAGCUCUCAGCCCAGUGCAGAGAGACUGUACGUCCUGUACUUGAUCAAGUACUGCACACACAGUCUCUCUGCACUGGGCUGUGAGCUUUGGAAAAUAUAAAAGAUACCCGUGGGAGCAUUUUUUAGUCAUGAAGCUUCAGACUUAAGUCAGACUCUUCAUCUAUCUUCAUCUAGCUAUCCAUGCCUACAUACCUAAUCUAUCCAGAUAGACAGACAAACAGACAGAUGGGUAGUUGUAUACAAACAGACAGACAGCCCAAUGGCAUACUCCAGGCCGGUUCCGGCCCGGUUCCGACCUAACGGGUCCAGUUAACGAGAUGGGUAACCGGUCGGUAGGAUUACCGGGCGAACCGUUAUCCGUUAACCGUCCCCAGUAAUCGGUAACCGAUGUCGGUAACCUGGCAUGAGGAAAAAUGCAUUUCUGAUUGCAACCAGUUUCUUUGUGACAAUGCCCAUUGUCACAAGGUUCAUGCCCACGUGUCACACCCCGACAAGCUUAGGAGGUUAAGGCAAUGUGAAUGCCGGGUGACAGGGGUGACAGUCUUGUGCAGGCACAUUUGGAGACUAGUUUACACUGAGAUUGGGGUGAUGUUGGAUUAGAAUACUUGCAGUUCAUGAAAUUGAGGAAAUGUGUUGCAUAGGCAUAUCCAAACGUUUCAGAGGGACGUUGUUUCGCCCGUAACAAACUUGUUACGGGCGAAACAAACUGGAUUUCCACAGUCCCACCACUCAAAGAGCUCCCCACACCAUCGCAAAGUCCCUUUUUUAUUACAGACACAUGUAACGAGUUGUCAUAGCUUGAGAUUGUCGAUAUAUGACUGCUGGAUUGUGACCAGGCCAUCUCCUUACAUGUCUUGCUGCACCAGCAUGAGCAGUGAUCCCUUCUGUUCAAAAUUUUCAGGCAACAUCGCAAUGAGGCAANNNNNNNNNNNNNNNNNNNNNNNNNNNNNNNNNNNNNNNNNNNNNNNNNNNNNNNNNNNNNNNNNNNNNNNNNNNACGGUCGGUAACCGGCAUGUUUAUACCAUAGGGCAGACAGGCAGACACAAGCAGGUGAUGUUGGGGUAACAAAAACACACAGACAACCACACAAUCACAGCACUGUUGGGGCACAUGGUGGAGUUGGGGUAACAUGAAAACAUGCACACACACAGACAGAGAGAGAGACACACACACACACACAGAGAGAGAGAGAGAGAGACACACACACACACACAGAGACACACACAUACACGCAUACAAGCACACAGAGAGAGAGACACACACAUACAUACACACACACAGAGUCUCACACACAUACACACACACACACACACAGUCUCACACACACAGUCACACACACAUACACGCACACAGUCACACACACACACAGUCUCACACAUACAUGUACACACACACACAUUGUAGCAAGCUACAUUUCCCAUAGAAUAUUUCAACGAUUACUCUUGACAAUAACUGUUAAUUCGUUAAUGAUUCGACUCGAGUUUUGUACAUGUUAUGAGUUUCGUCACAUGUCUCGAACAUGGCGGUUGUUCGCAGCAAACCCUUAGAAUACUUCAACGAUUACUCUUGACAAUAACUGUUAUUUCGUUAAUGAUUCGACCCGAGUUUCGUACAUGUUACGAGUUUCGUCACAUGUCUCGAACAUGGCGGUUGUUCGUAGCAAACCUAAUGGGCUGGGGCCCCGGGGCCCCACCGACAUUAUCCUAGUACGGCAGGACCAUGGUAGGGAAUGUCCGGCAGGUAGGCCGAGAUAUAAGCUACCCGGGCGGGGUGCACUGGCCAGACACUGAAGUAUCACGAAUACUAGGUGUUCGGAGUUCAAGUCUCCGCUGCCGCCAUAUAGAUUGUUUUUGUAUACGCGUCUAUGCAGACUAGUGCUUGCCUCGGCGAGGACUGUCAACUCAACGCUUCCGGGUAACAGGCUGUUGGGAGUUAGAGAUUGAUCAACGUCAUGACCAACCUAACAGCUGUGAGCACACAGCACGCACCUGCAGGCUUUGUGACUGCAGGGCGGUUCAAGGCGAAAUGCAUGCCUUUGUGAAAUGCCCGGUGUACACUAGUACACGGGCUAAGUACGAACAUGACCUCGCGUUUCAAGGGUUCAACGUGCACACGAUUUCACUGAGGCCCCACCCCUGGCACUAGCCAGGUUCCCCUCGGAAGUCUGGGAGACCCGGCACGUUGCUCUAUGGCGCUUCAUAUGCUCAAGUGGACGAGGGAGGACAAUGAUGGUCCACCAUGUAACUGCACUUCAAACGAUUUACCGUCCAUGGGCACGCCAGCUUUUAUGGACAACCCCGCACUUGUAUGGAACUUGUAACACACUCAAACACAUACAAAGACAGACACACAGACACACCCACCCACCCAUUUCAGUCAAACACACACACACACACAGACAGACAGACACACGGACAGACAAACAGAGACAGACAAAAGGAGAGACACANNNNNNNNNNNNNNNNNNNNNNNNNNNNNNNNNNNNNNNNNNNNNNNNNNUCUCCGAGCUUAAGUUUUCCCAAAGCUCUCAGCCCAGUGCAGAGAGACUGUACGUCCUGUACUUGAUCAAGUACUGCACAUACAGUCUCUCUGCACUGGGCUGUGAGCUUUGGAAAAUAUAAAAGAUACCCGUGGGAGCAUUUNUUAGUCAUGAAGCUUCAGACUUAAGUCAGACUCUUCAUCUAUCUUCAUCUAGCUAUCCAUGCCUACGUACCUAAUCUAUCGAGAUAGACAGACAAACAGACAGAUGGGUAGUUGUAUACAAACAGACAGACAGACAGGCAGACACAAGCAGGUGAUGUUGGGGUAACAAAAACACACAGACAACCACACAAUCACAGCACUGUUGGGGCACAUGGUGGAGUUGGGGUAACAUGAAAACAUGCACACACACAGACAGAGAGAGAGAGACACACACACACACACACACACAGAGAGAGAGAGACACACACACACACACACAGACACACACACACACACAGAGAGACACACACACACAUAGACACACACACACACACAGAGAGAGACACAUACACGCACACAAGCACACAGAGAGAGAGAGACACACACACAUAGAUACACACACAGAGUCUCACACACACACAGAGUCUCACACACACAGUCACACACACAUACACGCACACAGUCACACACACACAGUCUCACACAUACAUGUACACACACAUUGUAGCAAGCUACAUUUCCCAUAGAAUAUUUCAACGAUUACUCUUGACAAUAACUGUUAAUUCGUUAAUGAUUCGACUCGAGUUUUGUACAUGUUAUGAGUUUCGUCACAUGUCUCGAACAUGGCGGUUGUUCGCAGCAAACCCUUAGAAUACUUCAACGAUUACUCUUGACAAUAACUGUUAUUUCGUUAACGAUUCGACCCGAGUUUCGUACAUGUUACGAGUUUCGUCACAUGUCUCGAAUAUGGCGGUUGUUCGUAGCAAACCUAAUGGGCUGGGGCCCCGGGGCCCCACCGACAUUAUCCUAGUACUGCAGGACCAUGGUAGGGAAUGUCCGGCAGGUAGGCCGAGAUAUAAGCUACCCGGGCGGGGUGCACUGGCCAGACACUGAAGUAUCACGAAUACUAGGUGUUCGGAGUUCAAGUCUCCGCUGCCGCCAUAUAGAUUGUUUUUGUAUACGCGUCUAUGCAGACUAGUGCUUGCCUCGGCGAGGACUGUCAACUCAACGCUUCCGGGUAACAGGCUGUUGGGAGUUAGAGAUUGAUCAACGUCAUGACCAACCUAACAGCUGUGAGCACACAGCACGCACCUGCAGGCUUUGUGACUGCAGGGCGGUUCAAGGCGAAAUGCAUGCCUUUGUGAAAUGCCUGGCGUACACUAGUACACGGGCCAAGUACGAACAUGACCUCGCGUUUCAAGGGUACAACGUGCGCACGAUUUGACUGAGGCCCCACCCCUGGCACUAGCCAGGUUCCCCUCGGAAGUCUGGGAGACCCGGCACGUUGCUCUAUGGCGCUUCAUAUGCUCAAGUGGACGAGGGAGGACAAUGAUGGUCCACCAUGUAACUGCACUUCAAACGAUUUACCGUCCAUGGGCACGCCAGCUUUUAUGUACAACCCCGCACUUGUAUGGAACUUGUAACACUACAGACAGACAGAGACAGACCGACAGACAGAGACAGGCAGACAGACAGACAGACAGACAGACAGACAGACGUCCUUGGUGGAGUCCCAUGGUGGAGUACUCCUCAGGCUACAUCAACGCUUGUGGCACCAGCUCGAUUUCUUCUCUCUCUCUGUCUCUUCUCUCUCUUCUCUCUUUCUGUCUGUGUGUGUAAACACUCAUGUGGUACACACACACGCCCCCCAUGUACACACAAGCAGGCGAUGUUGGGGUAACAAUAAAACACACAACCACCCACACACAACCUCACACGCACACACAUGACUGUUGGGGUACAUGGUAGUGUUGGGGUAACAUGAAACACACGCAAUCACAGUCCUGAUGGGGCACAUGAUGGGGUUGGGGUAACAUGAAAACAUGCACACACACGGCCACAGAACUAUUCGGGUAUAUGUUGGUGUUGGGGUAACAUAAGACACAGAGACACACAGACAGACAGAGACAGAGAGACACAAACUCACACACACAGAGUCACACAGAGUCACACAGAGUCACACACAGUCACACACAGAGGCACAGAGACACACAUACAUAAACAGAGACACACACAGUCAAACGCACACAAAGACAGACACACACAGUCAAACACACACUAAGACAGAGACACAUACAUACACACAAAGACAGAGACACACACACACACACACACAUACACACAUACACACAUACACACAGACAUACUCACACACAUAAACCUGCCUGUCAUGCAUUAUUCUUCUACAUCAUAUCCUGUCAGCCAAACAUCUCAUUUCCGAAUUGGUGGGUGCCCAUCAAACAGAUAGAGCAGCAUCCGAGCAGCAUCUCCUACUUCCUGCUCUGCUGCCGCUGAAAUGUUGCUGCUGCUUCCGAAACGGAGGAUGCUGCCCUGCUGCACCGGAGGCAGGCGGCUAUAGCCCAUGCUACCAUCCCGUCCUUGAUGACCACGCCGGUUCUCAGCACGUGUUCCCCACACAAGAUGAAACGGGUUGAUGCAUGCACGCUCGUCACAGAUGUGCAUCACAUCAUACUGUGUGUGCGGCAGCACAUGUUGUUGUUGAGGUUGCUGCUGGGGUUGUUGCUGCUGCAUAGACGGGACAGCAGACACUGGAUGAUGGUUGGGCAACAGGAGGAAUGGAGGAGGUCCACGGAAGGCCCACAAAAUGAGCCGGCAUGCAUUUGUGGAGCUUGUGUACACAUCAAGAUCCGCACCCCCCUUACUGCAAUAAGCGGCCUUGGUGUUCUUGCAUUUUACCUGUGUCUUCUUGCCCCGCUGCAGCUGUUGCUUCUGGGGUUUGGUGCCCUGCUUCUUGGGGCGGGCAUCCUGCUGCGCCGUCAUUGUGUUCUGCUGCUUCUGCCGCUGCUGCUGCUGCUGCUGCUGCUGCUGCUGGCUUCUGGUGUUUGGACGACGGUGGCUGUUGCUCCCAGGAGCAGCAGCAGCCGCCGCCGCCGCCGCCGCCGCCGCAGCUGCAGCCGCAGCAGCCGCCGCAGCCGCCGCAGCCACAGCAGCAGCAGCAGCGCCACCAAACAGCAGGCGUGCCUUCUUGUUUGGGUAUUCCUUCCGUCGUGGCAUCAUCAUUGCUGGUGGCUGUCGUGUUGGCGGCUUGAUUGUUGUUGUGAUGGUUGCAGGCGGGGUGGUGGGCAGGGUUUCAGCAUUAUGAAUGGUGGAGAUGAUGUGCUGCUGCUGCUGCUGCUGCUGUGGUGGUGGCGGUGGUGGCAGCGACGGUUUGGAGGGGCUUGCUGCUGCUAGUCUACUUUCUGCUCCUACUCCUACUCCUGCUCCUGCUCCUCCGCCUCGAUCUUUAUCCAGCAUCAUCUCCUGCUCCUGCUCCUGCUCCUGCUCCUGCUCCUGCUCCUGCUCCUGCUCCUGCUCCUGCUCCUGCUCCUGCUCCUGCUCCUGCUCCUGCUCCUGCUCCUGCUCCUGCUCCUGCUCCUGCUCCUGCUCCUGCUCCUGCUCCUGCUCCUCCUCCACAGCAGUGCUGCUGAAAGCUCUCCACCUCUCAGCCUGAAGUUCCUCCUCCUCCUCCUCCUCCUCCUCCUCCUCCUCCUCCUCCUCCUCCUCCUCCUCCUCCUCGUCCCCCUCCCGCCAGCACUCUAUAAUAAUAAUAGCACGUGCCGCCUCCUCACGUACGUUUUGCUUUUCCUGCUUCUUCCUGUCCUGCAGCAUGCAGAAAAAAAACGUUAUAUUAUAAUAUAUCUACAUUAAGAAAAAACACAUUUUCUUGUUUCAACAAUUCAACAAUGAUUGUUAUUAUUUAUAAAACAAAAGUUGAAGAAAGCUUAAUACAUCGUCUCACGCUGCUGCUGGACACGUCGAUUAACAUAACGCGUCAGCGAUGAACCCAAAUCGCAAUGAUGAUGAUGCUAUGUGCCCGCUUCCGCUCCCGUACUUAUACUUAUUACUUUUCUUAUUACUGCUAAUUGUAAAAACUUUGAGCGACUCUUCCCGGCAAAAUUUUAAUAACGAUGACGACGACGACGACGACGUCGAGGAUUGACGACCAGACCCCCACCAGCGAGCGCGAUCGCAUCGCAUAUUCUUAUUCUUAUUCUUAUCCUUAUUCUUGUUCUGAUCACAGAGCACAGCAGAGGCGGCACAGUAAAGUUUUAGUGGUGGUGGAUCAUCGGCGGGUUGGCACGCUUGUGCACGCGGCGAGAUUGUUGUUGGUAUAUAUACCGUUAGGGUUAUUAUUAUUACUUUACAUAUGUGCCAAAUCGUGCCAAGUAGAUACAGCAGCAUUGUUUGAUUGUGUUGGUGUAGAUAUGCAUAUAGAGAGAGAUCGUGUGUCCGACGAGAAGGGAAAAGGGAGCAUACACAACAACAACAACAAUAUGUACAACUACUACGUGGGUGCAUCAUCGCCACACCGUCGUGCAUGCGCGUGUCCCAUAAUAUCCACAUACCCGCGGAGCCAUCAUAUGCUGCUGCGUAUGUGUANNNNNNNNNNNNNNNNNNNNNNNNNNNNNNNNNNNNNNNNNNNNNNNNNNUACAUCAUAUCCUGUCAGCCAGCCAAACAACUCAUUUCCGAAUUGGUGGGUGCCCAUCAAACAGAUAGAGCAACAUCCGAGCAGCAUCUCCUACUUCCUGCUCUGCUGCCGCUGAAAUGUUGCUGCUGCUUCCGAAACGGAGGAUGCUGCCCUGCUGCACCGGAGGCAGGCGGCUAUAGCCCAUGCUACCAUCCCGUCCUUGAUGACCACGCCGGUUCUCAGCACAUGUUCCCCACACAAGAUGAAACGGGUUGAUGCAUGCACGCUCGUCACAGAUGUGCAUCGCAUCAUACUGUGUGUGCGGCAGCACAUGUUGUUGUUGAGGUUGCUGCUGGGGUUGUUGCUGCUGCAUAGACGGGACAGCAGACACUGGAUGAUGGUUGGGCAACAGGAGGGAUGGAGGAGGUCCACGGAAGGCCCACAAAAUGAGCCGGCAUGCGUUUGUGGAGCUUGUGUACACAUCAAGAUCCGCACCCCCCUUACUGCAAUAAGCGGCCUUGGUGUUCUUGCAUUUUACCUGUGUCUUCUUGCCCCGCUGCAGCUUUUGCUUCUGGGGUUUGGUGCCCUGAUUCUUGGGGCGGGCAUCCUGCUGCACCGUCAUUGUGUUCUGCUGCUUCUGCUGCUUCUGCUGCUGCUGCUGGCUUCUGGUGUUUGGACGACAGUGGCUGUCGCUCCCAGGAGCAGCAGCAGCAGCAGCAUCCAUGGGCAGCUCUUGUUUUUGCGGCUGCUUCUGGAGUGAUACUAAUUGCCAUGGUCCUGUGAUCAUGACCCGGGGAUAGUCACUGCGAUGCUGCUUGCUGAUGAUAAUGUCGAUCUUUGCACCAGCAGCACCAGCAGCGCCAGCAGCAUCAGCAGCACCAGCAGCACCAGCACCAGCAGCACCAGCAGCACCAGCACCACCUCCACCGUGACCACCACCACCACGACCACCACAACCACCACCACCACAACCACCACCAGCAGCAGCACCGGCAGCAGCACCAGCAGCUGCUGCUGUGGUGCAUUGGAGCACCUGGAAGGGGUUCAUGUGUUUGACAUGAUGGAACGGCUGUACCUCCUGGAUCAUGUCACCGUGAUGUUUGCUGUACACUUGUUCAUGGCCGGGAUAGGAUGUUCGUUCCCCACCCUUUUUGGAGGGGGAGGACUUGCACAUGAAACAACAUGGAGACAUGCUGAGAGCCUCCCUCAUGUUGCAGCAACCGUGCAUCAUCCGCGCUGCCACUGUAGCAGGUGCAGUCGUUGUUGUAGCCAACCUGUUGGUCAUAUUAUCCUCCUCCUCCUUCUCCUCCUCCUCCUCCGCCGCCGCCGCCGCCGCUGCCGCCGCCACCUUCUGCUCCUCCUCCUCCUCACCAUCCUCCUCACCAUCCUCAUCCUCAUAAUCACCAUCAUGAUGUGCAGUAGUAAUGGUGGCACUGCUGCCAGUGGUGCAUUGCUGCUGCUGCUGCUGCUGCUGCUGCUGCUGCUGCUGCUGCUCAUUACUAUAGCGGUAGCAGAUGGGAAGCUGCAGCAGCAUUGCAUUUUGGAUGACCAGGUUGGCAUCCUCAUCUGCAGGGUCGAGUUGCAGUCUUCGAGCAAUAACCUGCGCCCUGUGGUUCCACCCCGGAACAUCUUGUGCAGCUACAAUUCGGAACUUGGGGCGCAGACGGCUGCCAAUAGCUGCAAGGAUGGCAUACGUGCGGCACAGCAGCAUGACAUCGCCAUCGUCGGCAACAGGAGGGUGAUGUCUUGUGUGUGGCACCCAGCUGAGGAUUCCCAACAUAUGGACCCCACAUCUGUACAGCCGCUGCUUGACAUCUUCAUCUGUCCACCUGUGCAACAUAUUGAGAGACAGAUAUACACACACACACACACACACACACACACACAGAGACGGAGAGACGGAGAGACGGAGAGAGGUGUUAUAUAAAAAAACCUACAGGUUAAACAUAUGUAACCCUAAGUCCUAGCGGUAAACAUAGUGUAUGUGUGAAUGUAUGUAUGUGUGUGUGUGUGAAUGUAUGUAUGUGUGUAUGUAUGUGUGUGUGUAAGGAAGAAAGCUAUAAUAUACAGCCUGCUGCCUCUCUAUAUAUCUAUACCUUCUUUGUGGGUCACGGUGGUGGCCUCGGGCAGUGGAUCUGUGGUUGACAACUGCUGGUGGCUGCUUCUUCUUCCACCAUCUGGCAGUAGCACUAGUAGUAGCAGCAGCAGCAGCAGCAGCCGCAGCCGCAGCAGCUGCAGCAGCAGCAGCAGCACCAUCAUCAUCGUCAUCGUCAUCAUCAUCAUCAUCAGCAGCCGCACCCGCAGCAGCAGCCGCCGCUGCCGCAGCUGCCGCCGCCGCCGCAGCCGCCGCCGCCGCCGCAGCAGCAGCAGCACCAAACAGCAGGCGUGCCUUCUUGUUUGGGUAUUCCUUCCGUCGUGGCAUUAUCAUUGCUGGUGGCUGUCGUGUUGGUGGCUUGAUUGUUGUUGUGAUGGUUGCAGGCGGGGUGGUGGGCAGGGUUUCAGCAUUAUGAAUGGUGGAGAUGAUGUGCUGCUGCUGCUGCUGCUGCUGCUGCUGCUGCUGCUGCUGUGGUGGUGGCGGUGGUGGCAGCGACGGUUUGGAGGGGCUUGCUGCUGCUAGUCUACUUCUUUCUGCUCCUACUCCUACUCCUGCUCCUGCUCCUCCGCCUCGAUCUUUAUCCAGCAUCACCUCCUGCUCCUGCUCCUGCUCCUCCUCCCCAGCAGUGCGGCUGCUCUCCACCUCUCAGCCUGAAUCUCCUCCUCCUGCUCCCAAACCUCUUCCUCCUCUUCCCCCUCCCGCCAGCACUCUAUAAUAAUAGCACGUGCCGCCUCACGUACGUCUUGCUUUUCCUGCUUCUUCCUGCAGCAUGCAGAAAAAAAACGAUAUAUUAUUAUAUAUACAUUAAAAAACACAUUUUCUUGUUUCAAUUCAACAAUGAUUGUUAUUAUCAAUAAACCAAAAGUUGAGCUGCACAAGUCGGUAAAUAUAUCACGUCAGCGAACAACCCUGACCGCAACCGCAGUUGUUGCAUCAGCCGUGACUUGAACCCACGUUCACCUAUUGCGCAUUCGUAUUGCAAUUACUACAAUGUCUCAGCACUUAUUAGGCUCACUCACCACUCCUCUCCGGGAGUAGGCGAUGACUUUGACCGGGCAGCGUUAGCCUAUAUCCUAUAACUUUCUUGUGAAUCGCCCUUACUGCCGGCGUGUCCUUUCGAGGACGCUAAAGCUGUUUCUUUGUGCUUUUGUUGCGGUGUAUUGAUUGGUAUUUGUCUUGUUCCGUGGCUCGCGCGCAUUAGACACAUGUCUGUUUCUGCUUCUUCGCGGCUUGUUUUCUACUUGGCGCCUGCUCCAUAAAUAGAAUUUUAAAAACGUCCUGAUAGCUCUCGCUGUGACGGUCUCAUUUCAAUUGUCUGUUUGUCGUCGGCGAGCGGUGAGAAGUAGGGGCGGCGCACUUUAUUACUAAUAAUAAUGACGUAUAGUACGACAAAGCACACAUGAGCAGCACGGCUGCUGUGCUUCUUCUUUUGCGGUUUCCGUCGUCGUUGUUGUUGUUGUUGUGUACCGAUUAUUAUUUUGUUGUUGUUACAUUCAUUAUUGUUGACCCUAAGUAUUCAAGUAAUAAUAUAUAAUGCAUGUGCCGCAGAACAUGAUGAUGAAUGAUGAUGCUAUGUGCCCGCUUCCGCUCCCGUACUUAUACUUAUUACUUUUCUUAUUACUACUACUAAUUGUAAAAACUUUGAGCGACUCUUCCCGGCAAUUUUUAUAACGAUGACGACGACGACGACGACGAGGACGAGGAUGAGGACGAGGAUUGACGACCAGACACCACCACCAGCGAGCGCGAUCGCAUCGCAUAUCAUUAUAUUCUUAUUCUGAUCAUCACAGAGCACAGCAGAGGCGGCACAGCAAAGUUUUAGUGGUGGUGGAUCAUCGGCGUGUUGUGCACGCGGCAUUGUGUUGUGCACGCGGCGAGAUUGUUGUUGGUAUAUAUACCGUUAGGGUUAUUAUUAUUAUUAUUUUACAUAUGUGCCAAAUCGUGCCAAGUUGAUACAGCAGCAUUGUUUGAUUGUGUUGGUGUAUAUAUGCAUAUAGAGAGAUCGUGUGUCCGACGAGAAGGGAAAAGGGAGCAUACACAACAACAACAACAUGUACAACUAUACGUGGGUGCAUCAUCGCCACACCGUCGUGCAUGCGCGUGUCCCAUAUAAUAUCCACAUACCCGCGGAGCCAUCAUAUGCUGCGUAUGUGUACUACUACUAAUAAAGUAGUAUCACGUACAGUACGACAUGUACAACAACCCAACAGACAGACCAACAACAUACAUCGCAAGUGCAGUGCGCGGAUAUACAUACAUACAUACAUACAUACAUACAUACAUACACACACCCACAGUCUAAGUAUUUAAUAAAAACUCUCCCACAGUCUCCCUCGACAUCAUCCGCUCAGUCUCGCCGUCCGUAUCCGUAUCGCCGGUCCCCAUCGCCAUCGUCUCCCGGGGCCGGUCCCUCCCUCCAUAUAGGUAGGUUCUCUAGGUAUAUAAUAUCGUGGUGUACAACAGAGUGUGCACGUGAGCCGUCAUCAACGUAUAUAAGAUACAGCAUACGUGUCUGCACCACAUAGAUAGACAUAUGUACGUGUGCACAUCUCUGAGCAGCCCUGUGCAUGGUCUCCGCUUGAUAAUAGAUGAGGUUGUUAUCAUCACCUAGUUCAUACAUACAUGCAUGCAUACCCUGCUCUGUGAAGAUGACAAAAAAGAGGUAUAGGUAUAGGUACAACUACUACUACUACUACUACUACUACUACUACCACUACUAUCUGGAUUCUUUUGCCUGGGUGGCUGGCAAUAAUAAUUAUAUAUUUCAAAGUUACUCUGCUGCGGCCGCCAUAUGUAUUAUAUAGCAUCAUCCCUAUGGCAUACUCCAGGCCGGUUCCGGCCCGGUUCCGACCUAACGGGUCCAGUUAACGAGAUCGGUAACCGGUCGGUAGGAUUACCGGGCGAACCGUUAUCCGUUAACCGUCCCCAGUAAUCGGUAACCGAUGUCGGUAACCUGGCAUGAGCCAAAAUGAAAUUAAUACUGAGAUAUCUAAGAUGAGAAUGUAGUAUGAGUAAUGCUAAAAAUUACUCAUAGAUAGGUACGAUGACCGUACACACAAAUCGAAAUUGAAAUACAGGAGCCACUAAAUUGUUUGGCUAAAUUACUUUAGCCGUAUAUUGUGAAGACAUUCCAUUUAGCAUCACUGUGUCCCCCUACCAAAAUGGAAGCGUGCUAAAGAACGUUCCUGAGAACGCUAAGAAUGCUAAGAACGGCUUAAGAAUGCUGGUGCUGCUGAGAAUGAUCUUAUGCCAGUCUCAAGCAUUCUUAUGACGGUUUAAAGAAUCGACAAAAGGGUAGGUGUUGGUAGUUGACAGUUUAGCCAGAGGAUCAUUUAGCCUGGCUGCUAAUUGUGUUGCAUGUUACUUCACCACACUUGUGUAUUGUGUAGGCAAAAAGCGCCAACUAAUGGGCCUGCCGGCUGUCCCUCCACAAGGAGAGAAGUACAAUGCGGACAAACUCUUGUUGGAGGUGAAGGAGGCGUUUGGUCAUCAUGACUAUUCAUAGAAGGGCAUGGCUGGACAGGAUACCGCAAAUGCUGGUGAGAUUUUUACCCGCUGAACCUGUUGGCUAUUGUGUGAACAUUUAUGGCAUAUCCACCUCACCAUGCAGCAGGUGUUGUAGUUGAGUGUUUGGGGUGUCACUACCUCGUGCUUUGAAUUAGUAUGCUUUGCAUUAUCAUUUGUAUAUUGUCCUAUGUACUGUAUCACCUCACUAUUGUAUAACACUCUGCAGGUGGGGAGUUGGAGGCCCUAUGGCAUAAACAUGCCGGUUACCGACCGUUNNNNNNNNNNNNNNNNNNNNNNNNNNNNNNNNNNNNNNNNNNNNNNNNNNUUUCAAGGUAAAUGAAUGCUUAUGUAUUCGUCCGUUAGUAGCGUGAAGCUUUGAACACUCUUUGUACGGCAGAUUCGGCACAAUGUUUUGCCUCAUUGCGAUGUUGCCUGAAAUUUUUGAACAGAAGGGAUCACUGCUCAUGCUGGUGCAGCAAGACAUGUAAGGAGAUGGCCUGGUCACAAUCCAGCAGUCAUAUAUCGACAAUCUCAAGCUAUGACAACUUGUUACAUGUGUCUGUAAUAAAAAAGGGACUUUGCGAUGGUGUGGGGAGCUCUUUGAGUGGUGGGACUGUGGAAAUCCAGUUUGUUUCGCCCGUAACAAGUUUGUUACGGGCGAAACAACGUCCCUCUGAAACGUUUGGAUAUGCCUAUGCAACACAUUUCCUCAAUUUCAUGAACUGCAAGUAUUCUAAUCCAACAUCACCCCAAUCUCAGUGUAAACUAGUCUCCAAAUGUGCCUGCACAAGACUGUCACCCCUGUCACCCGGCAUUCACAUUGCCUUAACCUCCUCAAGCUUGUCGGGGUGUGACACGUGGGCAUGAACCUUGUGACAAUGGGCAUUGUCACAAAGAAACUGGUUGCAAUCAGAAAUGCAUUUUUGCUCAUGCCAGGUUACCGACAUCGGUUACCGAUUACUGGGGACGGUUAACGGAUAACGGUUUGCCCGGUAAUCCUACCGACCGGUUACCCAUCUCGUUAACUGGACCCGUUAGGUCGGAACCGGGCCGGAACCGGCCUGGAGUAUGCCGUUGGGAGGUCAACCCCACAGAAGGAGAUGGUGUGCCCGAUAUGGGACCGGAGGUGGACGUGAUGACAGGAACUGUAGGAGAGGAACCGGCGGAUGAUUGGAUGGACGACACUCUUGCCCAGUUGCAUGAACCUAGCCGCCGGCACCUGCUUCCAGAGCCGGCAUUCGCACGGAUACGAAAAGAGACGCGUCUACUGUCAGAGGAUGAGGAGGAGUAUGAGAGUGAGGGUAGUAGCCCGGAGUGCACCCAGCAAGAGGGUGAGGUUGACACAGGGGAGGGGGAGGAGAGUGAGUCCGAAUUGUCUGAGGAGGAAUUGGAUGAGAAGACGGUGGGUGGAAGUGGAAAGCAGCGGAGUGUGCAACAGCACCCUAAGCGCCCAAGUGGUAACAGGCCUGUGGUGAUGGAGCAGUCUGCCAGGGGACAGCCGGCAAAGAGGGUAAAGGCUUCUACCUCUGCUCCAGAGUUAGUGGAUACUGGCGCGUACGGCCUGUGUGUCGAAGGAGCUAAGACCCCCAGCAGGGGCAGAAGCAGGGGGCGAGGCAGCCAGGAGCAAGGGAAAGGGCUUGGAGCAAAGCCCCCCAGGGGCAGGGGCAGGGGCAGGGGCAGGGGCAGGGGCUAGCAUAGCUUGUGUAGCUAGUAUUGCCUUUAAGUUGUUGCAUUUAAGCUUGUGAGUUGGNNNNNNNNNNNNNNNNNNNNNNNNNNNNNNNNNNNNNNNNNNNNNNNNNNCGGCAUGUUUAUGCCAUAGGGAGUAUCCCGGUAGCGCGGGAAGCAUCGUUCGCCAAUAUUAAUUAAAGGCCUCUAACGCUGCAGGAAAAUUUUAGUAGAAGAUUUAGAACUAUGUAUGUGUUAAGUUUUAGCGUUUGUUCCCGCUUUGAGGGCGUGAAAUGCCGUGUCAUUGUCCCUAAUAAGUCAUUGUCCCGGCAUUUCAAUUGUCGCCCAUAAGCAUGAACAAGGCGUGGGCGAUCUUGUCGCCGACGGGCGAUGUUGUCCAGGGCGUUCCGGUCAAACUCGUACGCGCCGACCUCAGUACCGUUGUCCAUGGACAUUGUGUUGGAAGGAUACGUUAAGGUUCAGAUAAAAUGAAGAAAUGAAGAAGCGCUCCUUCAUAGUAUGGAGAUCGUAGAAUCUUCAAGCAACUUUUGAACGACCAGGGAGAGUUGCUGAUAGGCGAAUUUGUAUGAAGCUAUAGAAUUCCUUUAUUCUUUCAAGGUAAAUGAAUGCUUAUGUAUUCGUCCGUUAGUAGCGUGAAGCUUUGAACACUCUUUGUACGGCAGAUUCGGCACAAUGUUUUGCCUCAUUGCGAUGUUGCCUGAAAUUUUUGAACAGAAGGGAUCACUGCUCAUGCUGGUGCAGCAAGACAUGUAAGGAGAUGGCCUGGUCACAAUCCAGCAGUCAUAUAUCGACAAUCUCAAGCUAUGACAACUUGUUACAUGUGUCUGUAAUAAAAAAGGGACUUUGCGAUGGUGUGGGGAGCUCUUUGAGUGGUGGGACUGUGGAAAUCCAGUUUGUUUCGCCCGUAACAAGUUUGUUACGGGCGAAACAACGUCCCUCUGAAACGUUUGGAUAUGCCUAUGCAACACAUUUCCUCAAUUUCAUGAACUGCAAGUAUUCUAAUCCAACAUCACCCCAAUCUCAGUGUAAACUAGUCUCCAAAUGUGCCUGCACAAGACUGUCACCCCUGUCACCCGGCAUUCACAUUGCCUUAACCUCCUCAAGCUUGUCGGGGUGUGACACGUGGGCAUGAACCUUGUGACAAUGGGCAUUGUCACAAAGAAACUGGUUGCAAUCAGAAAUGCAUUUUUGCUCAUGCCAGGUUACCGACAUCGGNNNNNNNNNNNNNNNNNNNNNNNNNNNNNNNNNNNNNNNNNNNNNNNNNNUUCACAUGGCGAAGUAUAAGCAUUGGAUGGGGCUGGCGGCCGAGCAAGCGGGCAGGAAGGAGGUGCUCCCGCACAUCACAAUGUUUAUCCCACGUUCGGCGAAUUGCAAGCUUAUGCAGUUUAGGCUUUGCUGUUGGGCACUGGCGGCUAACAGAGCGCGUAAGGGACGGCGUUAUAUACCUAGGGAGGAGCGAGUAUGCCCCUGCUGCGGCACUGAUAGCCACAUCGAGGAUGAGAAACACAUUUUGCUGGACUGUCCGGUUUACGACGGAAUCAGAUCUGAUAUGGGCUUUCCACGCUUCGAACAUAUGAAGGACGCUAUGAAGUGGGAACCUGGACGCCUGGCAAGAAUGCUGGAACGUAUAUGGUCUCACCGCAACUCUAUCGUUCCCUUUGGUCGUUAGUAUACUUCAUUACUUGUUUCGUUGGAAGUGCGAGGUAGGAUGGUGCUUAUAGGCGAUUUGGCAGCCCUUGAGCCCUCGGCUCGUACUAGGGUGGUUUGCAGGUACGGGGAACGCACCCACGACCAUGUAACAACAACAACAACAUUGAAAGGCCGAGUGAGAGGGGUGACAUUGCGUGAUGGCUGUUGUGGAUGGUGGGUGACAGGGGUGACAACAUUGCGCGCAGGCUUGUGUGGAUGCCAGGUGACAGAUCUGACAAAUUGGGUACACAUGUGUGAAUGCUGCGUGACAACAAAGCGUGCAGGCUUGUGUGAAUGCUGCUUGACAUUGGUGGCAUUGGUGACACAAACAUUGUUGUGAAUGCCGGGUGGUGACGCUGACGUUGAUGACACAAACAUUGUUGUGAAUGCCGGGUGACAGGGGUGACAGCCUUGUGCAGGAAGGUUUAUGCAGAUUACAGGUGACAGGUGUGAUGGCCUUGUGCAGUCAAGGAAUGCCAGGUGACACGGGUGACAGUGGUGUGCACACAUGGACAAGGAUAAAUUUAGGUAUUUUAGGUAUAUACCUGAAUCAUAUAUGAAUAUGCUUAAUGGCAUGGUGCCAAGAUGAUGUGGGAGGCAGUGAUAACAGUACUGUCCCAGGUGUGUAGGCAUGCAGGCAGGGUGCUAGGUAGGAUGAAUACCUGACCAUUAACCCACCUGACCAUUAAUCCAAUUAACCGACCGUUAACCCAACUGAUCAUUAACCCAACCGGCCGUUAACCCAACCGGCCGUUAACCCAACCGGCCGUUAACCCAACCGGCCGUUAACCCAACCGACCGUUAACCCAACCGACCGUUAACCCAACCGGGCCGUUAAUGCCAUUCAACCGGCCGGUUGGGUUAAUGGGCCCCAAACGGUCGGUAACCGGCAUGUUUAUGCCAUAGGGCAUGGAGGGAUGUUUAGCUUCAUUCAGGGUUCAUUACUAUCAAUCAUUGCUAUGUGUGCUAGGGAGCUGAACAGGACUACACAUUCGUGCUGCUGCUGCUGCUGCUUCUGCUGAUACACAAUAGCUGCCAACUGUGCGGGAUAUGUGUGUGUGCGGGAUAUGUGCGUGUGCGGGAUAUGUGCGUGUGCGGGAUAUGUGCAUGUGCGGGAUAUGUGCGUGUGCGGGAUAUGUGCGCGUGCGUGCGCGCACACACACGCACGCACGCAUGCAUGCAUGCAUGCAUGGGGGNNNNNNNNNNNNNNNNNNNNNNNNNNNNNNNNNNNNNNNNNNNNNNNNNNUAGGGAGGGUCGGGGAAUUGGGGCUGGAAGGGUUGGGAGGGUCGUGGCACGGGAGUUGGCGGGGUAUGGGGGUUAGGGAGGGUCGGGGAAUAGGGGUUGGGAGGGUUGGGAGGGUCGGGGCACUGGGGUUGGCGGGGUAUGGGGGAUAGGGAGGGUCGUGGAACGGGGUUGGGAGGGUCGGGAGGGUUGGGGCACGGGGGUUGGCGGGGUAUGGGGGAUAGGGAGGGUCGGGGAAUCGGGGCUGGGAGGGUUGGGAGGGUCGUGGCACGGGGGUUGGGGUUGGGAGGGUCGGGGAAUCACAUUUCACAACUCACUUUUCAUGUCCCCCCCUCCCUUUGCCCCCUAAGGCCUGCCACACCAGGGAGGACGUGGAGUGCUGGCACUUCUCCUCAAAGUUACCAAACAGCAUAUAAAGGGCAGCGGGUUCUCUGUCUAGAUCUUUUGCAUGGGGGAUCUUGGAAAACCAGCAAACCUACAUGGCUGGCGUAGCUACACAAACAAAAGCCUUUUUAUCCCCCGGUUUCCGAGCUUAAGUUUUCCCAAAGCUCUCAGCCCAGUGCAGAGAGACUGUACGUCCUGUACUU